UCAUCAUCAUCAUCAUCAUC
This 20-nucleotide microRNA is filed under the name Camellia sinensis. RNAcentral describes it as "microRNA miR414". The record is from RNAcentral. Lineage: Eukaryota; Viridiplantae; Streptophyta; Magnoliopsida; Ericales; Theaceae.